RNAcentral lists this long non-coding RNA (2361 nucleotides) under Strigops habroptila (Kakapo). RNAcentral's name for it is "lncRNA (ENSSHBG00005010104.1)". Lineage: Eukaryota; Metazoa; Chordata; Aves; Psittaciformes; Psittacidae. The record is from RNAcentral.
AGAUACUGCUGGUGAUUUAUUUUGAUUUUCAUUCUUUAGAUGAAAAAAACGUCAAGACUGGGUGUAAGAUUAAUUAAAAAAACCAACCCCCUUCCCUCGCCCCCAAAGAAACCAGGAAGAAAAAAUACACCAGUGUUGCACUGAAUAUGGAAUUCCUGGAAUCUUUUCCAAACUGCUAUCAUUAAAAUGUAUCAACAGUAUGCAAAGUUUUCCCUUGCUCUCUAUUAAGUCUAGAGUAUCUUCACUGAAAGAAAUAGUUUGCUUGAAUUCAUGCGAGAAUAUGAAUGGAAAAUGUGUUGAUCCUUUCUCAGAGAAACAAAGUACCAUUCAAUGAAAUGGAAAAAUCAUCAGAAAUGGAAGAACUAUAAAAUUACAAAAUGUUAUUUUCAUAUGAAUCACAGUGUUCCCAGGGCAUGCAUUGUGAAGUGUGUUACAGAGUCAGGAAUUUAGCAAGAGGCAGAAAACCAAGACAAAAAUAAGCAAAGUAGUAAUAAUAACACAGUUCUCAAAAGGUCCCUGAAGAAGCAUACCUGCUUUAACCCUUUAAAAGGGUUAAAGUGUUAAAGUUUCUUUGAGAGUAAAAGAAGAUUUUCUCUGGGAACAACUCAUUUCUUUUGUAACUGUGCACAUGAAAGUUUCUUUCAGCAGCCGUUUUUGCUGAACACACACAGGGUCAUGCAGAGCAGGUGGGCAUGCAGGAUUCACGCAGUAAUUCCUGUUAUCUUCUACACUGAUGAUAAUGCCUGGCCAGUUGGUUUUGGUUUUUUCCAUGAACUGAGCCAGUUCAACAUCUGUGUAUUUAAUAUGCCUGAGAUGCUAUAAUUAGAACAUUUUUAAUUAUUCAUCACUCUUAACUCUUCUCUUGAGUGUGGUAAUUUGAUAGAACAGUUCUAAAUACUGGAACAUCACCUUGAUCCGAGGAGCUUUCUGACGAUGCUUAAGCUGCUGUUUCUCAUGUACAAUCUUAGCCAAUGUUACAAUUUCAUGUAGGUAUAAAGGCUACUGUAUGUCUUUGAAUAUUUGUCUUGUUAUGAAAACCUAAUACUAUCCCUAGCCUGGAAAAAUCAUGCAAAUUCAUCUAGCUAAAUACAUACAUUUGAGCAAAAUGGAAAAAGUUAUUUUAUGUUUAAAAACUGAAGUGAAUUUUAGGCCUAUCAGUCAUGCUGAAAUGUGACUACUUAAAGUCCUUUGUUUGCAGAACAGCCAUUGUGCAGACAAAGCAAGCAGUGGCACGUUCCCCUCCAUUAUUUUGGAAGUGCUCUCUUCAAGAGGGUCAGCAAAUAAUUUACUUUUCUGCUUAUUCAGGACAUUAUCAAACCACUGGAGUCAGUAUUAAGAUCACAGACCAAUUUAUUUGAUCACCUUCCAUCUCCUUUGUAAAAGCUGAAAUAAAAACAUAUUUAACUCUUUCAGCUGCACUGACUUUCCCUAAGUAAUAUACUUGAUGCCUGUCUGUUUGGAGACAACUACUGCUUCUUGGUACAUACCUUACACUUCUCCUAGGACUCCUGGGUCCACAUGUAGUUUUCUCUGUAAUGUUAGUGAGGCCACUGGACUAUUUACUUUCUACUCAGGUACCUACACACAAGUCCAAGCUCAUCUCCUUCACAUGUUUCGAGACUAUUUCAGGCACUGCAGCAUGGCUGAUGACAGCUGGAAACAGAAAGUAUGCUGUGAGAGAUCUUGAAAUGCUGCCAAACAGGGUUUAUGUAGGAGACACGCUCUUCUUGCUGUAGAUCUGGCAUUCCCCCAUGACCAAGUUUCAAGCUAGUGCCUGUACAAAGGUCUAGGAUUAAACCUUGAACCUCAUGCUGCCAUUGUGCACAAAUUCCUGUGUACAAGGAGACUAGCAAUAUGGUGACCACAAAAACGCACAAAUACAAUGCAAAUAUUAUAGAUAGCUAUAGUCUCUCCUCACACUUUCCACCCCUGAGAUAGACUAAAAGCUCCCUUAUGGAGUGUUUCCCUGUUUUGCUGAAUGAUUGUUGCUUUUCUCCCCCAGUUAAACUCAGCCUUUCUCCUUAGGACUUAGGUAUGGGAGAGCAUGACCUAGAGGGUGCUCACCCCUUCUAAAAAUUUACAGAGUUGAGAGGUGAUGUUGCUGUGCUUAUUGAGCUUCUUAAUUUCAAACACUAGCCCCUGGGGACCAGUUUUGUGAGGGAGCAAGUCUUCUGCCUUACACAGCACCUGUGGGUGCUGUGGUGCAAGUGCUACAAGUAGGAGCACUGGUCUCUUGUGGUGUGGAUGGAGAUGGAUGUAGAGGAGGGGCUGCAGUCCACCUGUAGGGCUUCUGCUCUCUCAUACUCCCAGCAGGAGGAAGAUGUUAUUAGCCCCCACUCACCAUCCCUGCUUGGUGUACGC